UACGUAGGGGGCAAGCGUUGUCCGGAAUCAUUGGGCGUAAAGCGCGUGUAGGCGGCCAGAUAAGUCCGCUGUGAAAUCUCGAGGCUCAACUUCGAGCUGUCGGUGGAAACUGUCUGGCUAGAGUCCGGAAGAGGAGAAUGGAAUUCCUGGUGUAGCGGUGAAAUGCGCAGAUAUCAGGAAGAACACCCGUGGCGAAGGCGGCUCUCUGGGACGUGACUGACGCUGAGACGCGAAAGCGUGGGGAGCGAACAGG
Molecule: ribosomal RNA, 253 nt
Filed under: uncultured bacterium
Lineage: Bacteria
Description: partial 16S ribosomal RNA
Rfam family: Bacterial small subunit ribosomal RNA
Source: RNAcentral